This 577-nucleotide long non-coding RNA is filed under the name Lathyrus oleraceus (garden pea). RNAcentral's name for it is "Pisum sativum (pea) long non-coding RNA (PSAT_LNC028088)". The record is from RNAcentral. Lineage: Eukaryota; Viridiplantae; Streptophyta; Magnoliopsida; Fabales; Fabaceae.
GGAAAUAUAAUGAUGUUUAAUUUAUGUAAUUCAUUAGACAUCAACAAGGGAGAAAUAUGGGAUUCUAGGAAAAACCUAACCACUUUAUCUAAAUUGUCAAAACAAUUAUUUUAUUUCCAGCCAUAAAGUUGAAACCUCUCCCCUCAAUUAUUACUUUUUUACACUUGCACAACUAUUGCUUUGUUAAAUAGCAGUCCUUGGGGAUUCGAUACUUUUUUAUAUUACUUUGACACUAUCGAUACACUUGUCGAGAAGUCAUCAAGGUUUUGGCGCCGUUGUCAGGGGACCGUUGAUAAUUUUAACAAGGAAAUGCUUGUGCAAUGUUUUGCUUAUUUAGUUUUUGUUUUUAUUUUUGUUUUCUCAUAAUUGUUUAAUUACAGUGCUACUAAGGUAUUUCUUAUUUGUGUAUGCGCAACUCAGGAUCAAAAUUGACACCGCUUGAUCCAAAAAUUGAAAGGAUUGCACGUGCCAUCAUGAGAGAGGUUAGUAAAGUGACUCUAACCCAAAGGAUGUUAGUAGAAAAACAUUCACUGAUCUCUUCAGACUCCGAAGAGAAAAUCAUCAUGGUAGGCAUACC